RNAcentral lists this ribosomal RNA (253 nucleotides) under uncultured bacterium. RNAcentral describes it as "partial 16S ribosomal RNA". It matches the Rfam family "Bacterial small subunit ribosomal RNA", at positions 524 to 776 of the family's 1533-position model. The record is from RNAcentral.
UACGUAGGGGGCAAGCGUUGUCCGGAUUUAUUGGGCGUAAAGAGCGUGUAGGCGGCCUGAAAGGUCAGCUGUGAAAACUCGAGGCUCAACCUCGAGACGUCGGUUGAAACCAUCUGGCUAGAGUCCGGAAGAGGAGAGUGGAAUUCCCGGUGUAGCGGUGAAAUGCGCAGAUAUCGGGAAGAACACCCGUGGCGAAGGCGACUUACUGGACACAUACUGACGCUGAGGUGCGAAAGCGUGGGGAGCAAACAGG